UGUAAUACAUGAGCCUGAAAUUCCUCCUAAAAUAAAGUUUCUGAACUUUUAUUACAAAUAAAAGUUCAGAGACUUUAUUUUAGGAGGAAUUAGAUGCUAGCAGGUAUUUUCUAAGGGUUGAGAUGACACUGGCCUGAAGAAUGACAGCAGGACAAGUCAGCUCUGGAGUGUUGCAUCAGUGAUUCUGCACACCACAGCCUAAGCCAGAGCUGCUGAAAUGUGUUCUCAUGACUGGGAGUCCAGCUGCUCUCUAGGAUGCAGAUCUUGGAAGGAAAAGCUCCCAGCUCUUUCCAGUACAGAGCAUCUUGGGAUCAACAGCUGAAAAAAUGAAGCAGGAAAUUCAUUGCUUGCACCUGAAAUGCAUUACUUUUCCUUAAUAAGAUAAAAUACAUGCCUGAAGGACAGCAUCCUUUGGUAGUGACCCACACUUUAACCGUUUGUGGAAAACUGUUGCCUGUAGAAUGGACUCACAUUGGAGACGUUCAUGGAGAACUGACUCCCAUGGGAGGGACCCCACAGUGCAACAUUGUAAGGACUCCUCUUCCUGAGCAGUGGCAGAAACAAUGUGUGAUGAACUGACCAUUACCCUCUGUGCCCUGCCUCCCUGCAUCUCUGCUAGGGAGGAGGUAGAGGGGGAGAAGAAGGAAGAGCUGAGAAAUGGAGUAAUAAAGCAGCUUUGGUGGGUGUCUGGCAUCCAGCCAGGGUCAACCCACUCAAAUGUCAAUGACACUUUGGAAACUCAAAGUCACAGGCACCAUAUACUACCAAACCUGUGUGUGUGACUUAUGGAAAUGGAUUUGAUUGGUGUGCAAGCUAACAAAAUAAGACACUUGAUUACCGAUGAUCAUGAGUGAAGAUAUGGAAGAAUUAAGAUAUAGAAAAGUGAAGAUGUCAAGUAAUGCAUAAUUAAAGUGACUGAUUCAUGAUCAAAGCACAGUUUUUACUCCCUGCACUUAGGAAUCCUUCCCCAAGUAUUAUUGAUUCUUGGUUCAGGCUUUGACUUUGUACAGCUCUGCUUCUCUAAUAUCUAGAAAGGCAACUACUGCCAUUGCAUACCAAGGAAACGUCUUGCAUCGUGGGUCAAAGGGUGUCAAUCAACAGGAUCACCUUUGUUGCUAUUACAGAGCCCACAGAAAAUUUUACCGUCUCCAAUAACUCUAUGGAAAGAGCACUUCAACCUGCACAGAAUAGUGAUAUAAAACUAAAUAAUUAUCCUGCUAAGAUGAAAACAAAUGAGGAAGAAGAGUGAAAGCAUACAUAUACACAGGCAUAAAUCAAACUUUGUCUUUUAGCAUAUUGAUGCAUAUAUUUUUGUGAGGGCUGCAGUCACAAAUACUCUGUUGUAAUUAAUAUUGUGCUCCAGUGAAUUAGGAAUAAUUUCUGCAGUAAGUUCAGGGGGCCUGUGUAUGACCCUUCUGCAAAGGUGAGUUGAACUCACAGGACUACUGAUCACACUCCUGGGAAACUGGGGGACUGCUGGAGGACCAUUGUGCUGUUCAAGUUCUAAGAGCCCACCUCUUGAGAACCUAAAGAAAUUGAUAUUCCAGAGGAAAUUGGCAACUGCAAGCAUGAAGCUGUCUAAAGAAAAAACUACAUCAGCUGAGAGUGUGAUGCAAGACUGAAACCAUUCCUUUCACUAUCAUAUGGCAAGGACCAGGGAUGCUCCAUUGAAGCAUCCAGUUUUCUACAUAGAUUAUAUGAAAAGAAAAAUUCUGCUUAAAUGUAAAACUUCAGAAUUAAAAUUCUUUGGUUUGCACAAGGCUAUGUUUCCUCUGCUCUUUUCUACAUUAAAAACAAGACAAACACCAAGAUGGAAGCCAAGCCAAAUCCAGGACAUUGUUAAAUGUAUCUAUUUUCAAUUUCCAUGAAAGAAGGGGAGCCCCUCCCCUCUCAGGUCACUUCUUUUUUGUCUUAAACCUUCAUUUAGGAAAAAUUUGUAAUAACUAUUGUAUAUUUAAAAUCAAGUUAAUUUCAGAGGUCAAGAGGGAAGCAGUCUUUGUGCACUGGCUGAAAAAUUCUCUCCCUCCCGGCCUGUUAUUCUGAUGUUCUCUGUACUGAAGCUGUGCUUUCAUGCUCCUGUGGUCUAGACCUUAAAAACAUCUUUUUUUAAAGCCCUGAAGUAUUAUGUCUGUAUUAACCUUAUCAGUGAACUAUUUCAAUAACAACAUUCUGAGUAUCUCUCCUAAUAAAUAGUACAGGGAGAAGCAGCUCUGCUAAAAAUCCACCAUUGGGCUCUAAGCAAUUAGUGAGAAGCAAUCAAAGUACAAGAGGAUGAGCUUAGUCAUCAUUGCCCCAUUUGUCAGUGGUUGCCCUGCAGUCUUUAUAUACCAUAACUGAACUUGUAGACCCUAGGAACUACUGGGAUUAACUUUUGGUCCUAAAGAUGGGGGUUAACCAUCCCCUUCCCCUUCAUCAGAGAUGUCCAGGAAAGGCAUCUGCAGUGAGGGCUGGCAAAGAGAAGAUGUAUGCCCAGGGCUUCCAACAGCUACAUCAGCUCAGAUGGAGGGCUAGCAGGCUCCAGUUUGAAUUACUGGCUCCCAUUCAUACCUUAAAACUGCCUUUUCUAAGCAAAGCACUUAGAUUUAGUGCAUGACAGCUCAACCUAACACUCUAGGAGAGGUAACUUGUCACACAUAGACUAUAUCACUACCACAAAAUUUGGCUGCUUUUUUGUCUUAGUAUGAAAUUCAGGUUGCCAGAGUCCUUCCUCCCAAAAAUGGUAAUGUGUAAUGAGUCAACCAGCCUGCAAAUCUUACCACAGAUUAUACAGUUUUCUCAAGUGCUCUUCAUUUCUCUGCAUCCCAUCUGUCCAGUUUGCUGAAAUUAGAACAAAAUAAGGACAAAUAACCUUCUAGAUAUUUAUAUUUUUUAAUUUUUUUUUUUUUGUUUGUUUUUAGGUAAAUAAUAUUAGGAAGAUAUACAGGGGACUGUACAGACAGUUGUGUGAAAAAUUUGUGAUUAAUUUAUGGUGUUUUUUUAAAUUUUUAUUUUUAAAUUUUUUUGUUUCCCAGCUGCACAUCUAUUUCACUUUGAGUGCCUGUGCUUUCAGACUUCCAAUAAAUUCAAGAGUUUUCUUCAUGCAUAUAAAUAUACCUCAGAAUGGCAGAGCCAUUAAUUUAUAUAAUGGGCCUGAGAAACAAACAUUUCAAACCUACUGUACUUAGGUGGGCUUUGUAUGGUACUGAAGAAAUCAAUUUCAAUUCUGAGACAAUGCGUCUGAGUUUUACAAGGGGGCACAUGAAUGAAGACUUGAGAAUACAGCUAAAGGAAAAAUCUUCUGUUCAAGUCUUUUGCAGAUACUCAGAUCUUCAGGGACUUAGCCACACUUGUGCUAAUAUUCCUUAGAUUUUUGUACUCUAAAUCAACCAGUAAAGAAUGUGAUCAUCUUUGUGAUUUUACUUAUAAGUAAAACCAAUCACAGUUUUGACCCAAGAAGCUUUCUUCUCAGGAAGCAGCACUGAAGAACAGUACGCUUCUCUGAGAAUGUGUAAGUACCUUCAAAUAAUCCAAAAGCAAGAAGAAAUCAGAAUAACUUUAGAAUAGCUCUACAUAUGUGUAGAAGUGGUUGCAAAAACGUUUCUCAGCAAAGCAGAACAGUAUGCCAGCAAUUCUUGUUCAGAAAGAAAAAAGCUUUCAGUAAGACUUGAAAAGCCACAAGAAAGAUAGAAACCAAGCCAGAAAGGACAGAAGACUGACAGAAAAAACAUAACAGAACUCUAGUAGCCUGAGAACAGAAUGUGUGAAUGAGGCUGUGAGGUGAAAGACACAGCUGAGGCUCAGUGACUCUCAGUGCCAUAAUGUGUUUUAAAGAAAGCUGCAAGAAGACAUGUGCUAAGCAAUUAUAAAAUCUGCCCUGAGGAAAAAGUUCCUUUCUUCAAGCCAUCAGUUAGAGCACUGCCCAUCCCCUGGCUCCUCAAAGAAGAAGUCCUUCCUUUAUUCAAGAUAUAAAUAGCUAUCACAGGAGACACUCAGAGGAAGAAGAGCUAAGAAAAAGUUAAAGUAUUGAGUUACUCUACAUCCUUCCCUCCAGUUCCCACUUUAUCCAGUAUUUCAGAACCAGAGAUACUUCCAAUUCUCUUUGCCAUUCUGUUUUUCUUUCCUAUGCCAAAAUCAGGACUGCAGACUGGCUGGUAAGAUCUUGUAGUUUAGGCUGUUGUGGUAGGUGAAGUACUUGCAUGUAAACUGAUCCUUAUUCUAUUUUUACUUACCCUGGUAACAAAUAGCACUGAAAUGUGUGUAAUAUGGGUUCUUUUGUGCCUGUUUUUUAGUUUUCUAUUUUUCACUCUAGUGACUUGAUCAAAUAUUUUCUGCUGAUUACAUGACAGCUGGGAGAAUUUGCCAUUUUCUUUGUUUGUAUAAAAUUACAAAGAACUACAACAAGUAGCUAACAUUUUAUUCCUUUAAUUGUAGCACUCAUUUAACUCUAGUUAUAUUAACAGUUUCAAUUAUAAUAGAUGUAAAUGUGAUCUGAGCCUUGUAAUGGGUAGACUAUUUGUUUUACCUCACAUUUUAUACAGCAUUGGGUUUCGCUCUGGAUAUGCCAGAAAAGGUUUAACUAUGGAAGCAGUGAAAGUGAACAAGACAGACUAUAUUCUAAGUCUGAUAGAUAUCCAGUCAUGAGCUAUUGGCUUCUGACUUCAACUUGCAUUGAAGCAAAUUCAUUUCUAACCUUGAGACCUCUUUGGCACCUGCAUCUAAUCAUACCUCCAAGACCCUCUUACAGUCAACUCUGUUCUCAUAAACAUAGGGGGAAUACCUUAGUGCAAUACAGAACUACACAGGGGGAGGUCAGGACUUUUUCUUCUUUUAUCAUCCUGCAAUAUGCAUUUCUCUUACUGUUUGUCUGCAAUUGACAUAUGUAGGUUUUCACACAUAUCUGAAUUUCUUGAUGCAAUAGAAUAAAUGUUUUUCCCCAGGUAGGUUGUCUACAUUUUUAUUUUGAAUAAAACUGAUGAGUAAAAUUUCAGUCAAGCUUGCCCUAAAAUGUCAGAGAAAGUUAGAUAAAUUGGGGAGCUUUGAAACACAUUUGUUCUGCCCAUAUAUUGCAGCCUUCCAGCUCAGGUGUAGGAACUGACCUCUUGCUGACUGGCUGUAACUCAUCUGGCCAAUGUAAUAAUGCUGUGGUUUAGGGUUGAAGAGGUGUGGAAUAUUGUAAGCAACUAGGUGUACUUGCAAUGAAAUUUCUUAAAAGCUUUUAAAAGGAAUGCAGACUUUUUUUCUUGGACAUUGUGUGCACACAAGACAGAAUGGAUCACGAGAAUAUUUUUGAGGUAAUACAUGGACUUACAGAACUACAAAAGUAAAUGUGAUCUCUAAAUGCCAUUCAUCAGAGUGGAUGAAUGGCAUUUAGACAGACAAUGUGCAGGGCCUGCUGCUGUCUGUGCAGUGGGAAGUGUCACUCAAGUGGUAACUCAACCUUUCUUUGGCAAAAUUAGCCAAAGUAGCAGGGUGCUUUGGUGUGUAGUCACUUUCACAUGUAAGAGCACCUUCUAGUAUUUUGCCCUUCUAGUCUCCUUGGGCAUUGUUGCCUCUGUGGUGGACAUGUGGCCCUUCUUAACAGAAGUGAUGCCAUCAAUUGAAGUGCUUGUAUCAGCUUUCUGAGAAAAGCACAUUACUCUCAUCCCACCCAUGUGUGGGUUUCACCACUUGCAUAAUUACCAAGCUUUCUUCCUCUUCUUUUCCUAAAGAGAGAAAUAACAGUGCAUCAUAAUUUUUUGCCUGCUCACAUUCUCUAUUGAAGUUGGAGAACUUACACAUUAACCCUUGAUUGAAAUCUGCUGUAUCAGAACAGCAGCCUGUUAGCAUUGUAAAUAUGAAUGCUCUUAGGCAUUAAUAAGCUUCAUAAGAAGGGUGUUUUUGAACUUCAUUAAAAUAAUUUUCAGUCAAUUUUCAACAAAUGCCAGAGAUUUUUAAAUAGUCAUAAAUAUGGCAUCUAGGGCCAUAAAAACAUGACCAUCUCUAGCAGCAGGACUCAGCCUUCCUUGAAAUAGUGAUUUGGAGACUGUGAGAGAGAUGUUGUGAUUGCAGUAAAAAUUGAAUUCUGCUUGGGUUUAAGACUGUGUCAAUAGUAAUAUAAUCCACAAUGUCUGUAAAGUGCUGCUUAUUAUGCUACCAUCAGCUGCCACUUUGCAGAAUACCAUUAGAGAGUGAUAUUUACUAUAAGAAAAUAUUCUCAGGAAGCAGAGUAAGCUGCAAAAUAAAAUCAAUGAUAGCUCAAUUUCUUUAGAUGAGUCCAGUUUUGAGAUGCAAUUGUAUCUGUUUUCACUGGAAUUAGCUGUGGACAGGGAGCAUUCACUGUAUAUGGGUUUGCCUUAGGAUAUUGUACAAUAAAAUAUAGUUGGGCUGGAAUGCAUGAGAAUAUUGGUACAAUGCUUAAACAGAUAAUAACAUUGGCAGAUCUUUGGGGCUAUGGUUUAGGUGCUGUAUUUGUUUCUUCUGUGCAGUAAUUUCUGACCACUAGAUGGGACUGUGCAACCUCAUGCAAUUGUAUUAACAACAAUAUUUGAGAGGUUUUUUUACUUUCAAUUAAUACUUUUCUUUCUCCCACUGAAAGAGUGCUUUGUCCCCAACCUUUGAAAAGAACUAAACCAGCAGAACCUCUAGUAAACAAGGAUCUCUGUAAUUCUGGUGAGAGCAAAAAGUGAUUAGAUUCACAGUGAUCUGGAGGCUGUAGCAGUAAAGCACUUUCUACUUUGAUGAACUCAGCAAGUUUUAUUUCCUUUUGAAACAACUUAUGGCAGAUGGAAAACUGAUUUUGGUUGUCUAUUAUGAUUUUAAUGAUUUUUUCCUUCCAAAAUAUUUUUGUUGGUUUGAGGGGUUUUUUUUUCCUUUUUUUUGGUCCCCUUUAUUUUUUUUUUGCUUGUUCUCCAUCUGAGAAUAGUAAUUGCCCCAUGGCUCUUUUCAUUUGAUGUCUAAAGAGGUUGACUUUCAACAGCAUAGAAUAACACACUUAAAUCCCAAGGCUAUUUUAAUCUGGAAUGUUCAGGAAAGGUCUUUACCUUGUAAUAGGGGUUGUUGCUGAAUUUAUUUUGUUUCUUGUUGAAAAUGUAGC
Passer domesticus (house sparrow) is the source of this 7051-nucleotide long non-coding RNA. RefSeq lists it as uncharacterized. The record is from RefSeq and is a predicted model, not a curated record. Lineage: Eukaryota; Metazoa; Chordata; Aves; Passeriformes; Passeridae. The transcript has 14 exons.